This 465-nucleotide ribosomal RNA is filed under the name uncultured bacterium. RNAcentral describes it as "partial 16S ribosomal RNA". It matches the Rfam family "Bacterial small subunit ribosomal RNA", at positions 338 to 795 of the family's 1533-position model. The record is from RNAcentral.
CCUACGGGGGGCAGCAGUGGGGAAUAUUGCGCAAUGGGCGAAAGCCUGACGCAGCGACGCCGCGUGAGGGAUGAAGGUCUUCGGAUCGUAAACCUCUGUCAGCAGGGAAGAACGGUCACUGUGCUAAUCAGCAGUGAAUUGACGGUACCUGCAAAGGAAGCACCGGCUAACUCCGUGCCAGCAGCCGCGGUAAUACGGAGGGUGCGAGCGUUAAUCGGAAUUACUGGGCGUAAAGCGCUCGUAGGCGGUAUGUCAAGUCAAGGGUGAAAUCCCCGCGCUCAACGUGGGAACUGCCUUUGAUACUGGCAAACUGGAGUGUGUGAGAGGAUAGUGGAAUUCCAGGUGUAGGAGUGAAAUGCGUAGAUAUCUGGAGGAACAUCAGUGGCGAAGGCGACUAUCUGGCACAUAACUGACGCUGAGGAGCGAAAGCGUGGGUAGCAAACAGGAUUAGAUACCCUGGUAGUC